RNAcentral lists this ribosomal RNA (460 nucleotides) under uncultured bacterium. RNAcentral describes it as "partial 16S ribosomal RNA". It matches the Rfam family "Bacterial small subunit ribosomal RNA", at positions 338 to 795 of the family's 1533-position model. The record is from RNAcentral.
CCUACGGGUGGGCAGCAGUGAGGAAGAUUGGGCAAUGGACGAGAGGCUGAACCAGCCAAGGAGCGUGAAGGAUGACUGCCCUAUGGGUUGGAAACUUCUUUUAUAAAGGAAUAAAACGAGGCACGUGUGCCUUUUUGCAUGUACUUUAUGAAUAAGGAUCGGCUAACUCCGUGCCAGCAGCCGCGGUAAUACGGAGGAUCCGAGCGUUAUCCGGAUUUAUUGGGUUUAAAGGGAGCGUAGAUGGGUUGUUAAGUCAGUUGUGAAAGUUUGCGGCUCAACCGUAAAAUUGCAAUUGAUACUGGCAGUCUUGAGUACAGUUGAGGUAGGCGGAAUUCGUGGUGUAGCGGUGAAAUGCUUAGAUAUCACGAAGAACCCCGAUUGCGAAGGCAGCUUACUAAACUGUGACUGACAUUGAUGCUCGAAAGUGUGGGUAUCAAACAGGCUUAGCACCCCUGUAGUC